UCAAUUGUCUAUUAAUUAUAGACUAGAAUGAAUGGAUUAACGAAAGCCAAACUGUCUCCUAAUUUUUAUCAAUGAAAUUAUCCUUUCUGUUCAAAGACAGAAAUUCUUUUAUAAGACGAAAAGACCCUAAAAGCUUCAAAUAUUAAAUUAACCUCUCUACUAAAACAAAUAAAGAAAAAUACUAAUUUUUAAAAUUUGGUUGGGGCAACCAUUGAAUAAAAAUAUCAUCAAUAAUCAAACGAAAAUUUUCUAAAAAUAGAGUAACAACUCAAUUAAAUAAGAAACUUAUUAAAAUGACCCAGAACCAUCUGAUCAAUGAACAAGUUACUUUAGGGAUAACAGCGCUAUUUCUUUUUAAAGUUCACAUCGACAAAGAAGCUUACGACCUCGAUGUUGGAUUAAGAUACCCAAGUGGUGCAAAAGCUACUAA
RNAcentral lists this ribosomal RNA (430 nucleotides) under Eptatretus goslinei. RNAcentral describes it as "partial large subunit ribosomal RNA". It matches the Rfam family "Bacterial large subunit ribosomal RNA", at positions 1965 to 2568 of the family's 2925-position model. The record is from RNAcentral. Lineage: Eukaryota; Metazoa; Chordata; Myxini; Myxiniformes; Myxinidae.